Molecule: long non-coding RNA, 5390 nt
Organism: Aethalodelphis obliquidens (Pacific white-sided dolphin)
Lineage: Eukaryota; Metazoa; Chordata; Mammalia; Artiodactyla; Delphinidae
Exons: 3
Source: RefSeq, a predicted model, not a curated record
AAAGACAGAGCCAACAGACCGCAACUCGCGACUCCGUAAAAAAGGAAUCUCAUCUUCGAAAACCCAUUACCUACUAAGUGCCCAGUAAGCCCCCUGCAAGCGCUAAAAAGAUAACACUAAGUGCCACCCAGCCCCUGCCCUCCCAGAGCUCUCAGUUUAGCUGGGAAGACAGACAAACAGCCAAGUGACUCACCCCCGACCUGAUGUGGGACGUGCCAGAAAAGAAGUUUCAACAAAGGGCACCUAAGAACAGAGAGAUUGAUUUCUGAUUUGAGAGGAAACCAGGUAAGGUCUUCAGAGAGUUGGCACCUGAAGCGGAGAGGUGACAGAUGCGUUCCACAGGAAGAGAUGGGAAUGGAACUGUGAGGGAAAACGCAGAGAGAGAUAAUCCUCUGGGCUUUCACCUUGCACACGGUGGUGGACUGGGAACCCUGGGGAUGCAGUGAUGAACAGACGUGAAGGCCUUCAGGAGGUCACAGUCUAGAGAGAGCCAUGGUGUAUGGACCAUAUUGGAGGAAAAGUGCUGAAAGCCGUCAUCCCAACACCCCACCCCGGUCUAGCCAGGAGCCCUUCUCCAUGGUUCUGUACUUCUCCAUUCAUUCAUUUGUCGAACAUUUAUUGUAUACCCAUUAUGUGCCAAGCCUAGAGAUACAAAGGAGAAUAAGGCAGAUGGGGGUUCCUGAUUUCUCAGGACUUAAGUCGUAGCCAGGAGGAGAGAGACAAUAAAACAUUAAACAAAGAAAUUAACAAGGUAAUUUCUAAACUGAUGAAGUCUUCUGAGGAACAUAAAAUAGGGCAUGAGCUAGCAUGUUGGUGGGGGAGGGAGGAGUCCUCUGGAGAAGACUGAAGGGUGGGAGGAUCCAGCAAGUUAAGAUCUCAGGAGAAAACAUGACAGGCGGGGCCACGGUGGGGGCAAGUCCAGCAGCAGGAAAGAGCAAUGGCGUGCCAGGGGAACAGCAAGGCCAGUGUGCCUGAAACAUGCUGACCAAGGGGAGUGGGGCCCUCACUCAGCCUCAGAAAGCCUGGCAGGUCACAUGGGGCUUUGAUGGUCUCAGUGAGGAAUUUGGGUCCGACCCUAAGAGCAAUGGGAAACCACUGGAGCCGCGAUGCCCCAUAGAGAUCAAAUGUGAGCCAUGUGUGCGAUUUAAAAUGUUCUAGUAGCCACAUUUUUUAAAAGUACAAAGAAACAUUAUUAAUUUUAAUAUUUUAUUUAACCCAAUAUAUCCAAAAUAUUACUUCAACAUGUAAUCAAUGUGCAAAAUUAUGAAUGGGAUAUUUUACAUUCUAUUUUGGGGAACUAAGUCUUUGACAUAGGUGUCUGUGUGAUACUGACAGCAAUUCUCCACUCAGACCAGCCACAUUUCAAGUGCUCAGUAGACACCUGUGGCCAGUGGCUGCCAUCCUGGCCAGAGCAGCACUGGAGGGUCUAAUGAUAAUCGUCUUCCCAUAUAGCCAGGCUCAGGGCUAUCUUUCAUUUCUCCCUUCCCCUCACACCUACCUGCCAUCAUCAUCCACCAGGAGCUUAGAUAGUUCCCUCUCAAACCACCACAUCUAUCCCAACAUCUACCCCAGCUCAACUGUCUUCAAUAUUUUGCACAUCAGUUAUUGCUACAUCCUCAGAAUUGGCCUUUUUGCCUUUGCUCUAUCUCCACCAAUCUCUUGCCGCCGGACUACUGAUGUUUCUGCUAAGACACAGCUCCCUCUUCUCCCUUUUCCCCCGGCAAAUCUUCCAUAGCUCCCACUGCCCUCACAUAACACAGUUAAAACCCAGGUCCUACUUGGUCCACUUCAUCUCACUUGCACCAGUGACUUAUGCAAGGAAUGAAACUCAUGUAAUUUUAUUUCCCAGAAUAUCCUUAAACACUAUGAACAGUUGUAAAAACAUUGAAAGCUUUCAGGCUUUUGUUUCCAUUGAUUAUUCCCCUUUAAUAGUAAUUUUUCUCUCUGUACAGAAGUGUUCUCUAUUUUUUUCUUAUUUGAUAGUUUUUAUUUUGUGAAGAUUUUUUUUUCUCUUAAAGGCAAUUCCCGUGACCUGCGACAUUUGGAUACGAGUUGCCUACGUAUUGCUUGAUUUCUUGGUAGUUCUCAUCCCACAAGCCAACUGCAAACGUGAUACGUGGCAAAUAUACAUCAUCAGGAUAACGUACAUAAUCACAUGGGAUGUGUGUGUAUAUAAACGUUUAAGCGAAAGUAAAUUUAAUUGUGCUUUGAACCACCUAUGACGUCACUUGAAAUUGCAAGAAACUCUAUGAGCUAUAACAAGUCCAGGCUGGGAAUCUCUAAAAUCUUCCUUGACUUUGGUUUUGAUCUUGUAAGAACAACUGAGCUGCCAUCUUUGAAGUACGGUUGAAGGCCAUUCCUCGUGUUUUUCUUUUUCCCCUUGGUUUAAGUAGCUGAAUAUGUAAGCUGAACAUUUAAGUAGCUGAAUAUGUAAUUUUUGCAGACCCCACUCCAAAAGAACCAUCAAAACCAAGAUUCACAUGAUGCCCACAUGUCCACACGACUGCUCUUGACUAUGGAUGUGAGAUAUUAACUCCAGAAAUAGACUGGAUGUGAACCGAGCCAUAAAUUGCUAUUGAAGGAAGUUUGCGCUUACAUCCCUGGAAAGUAAUAUUAAAAGGCCAGGGGUUCACAAGCCUGCUGCAGCUGGAGUCCCCUAAAUCUUGUCUAUCAACUUGAUUUGGCUUGAUUCUAAUUUGGUUUGAGAGCCUACUUCUGUUCUUUGCAUGUAUUUGAGCAUAAAUGAAGGUCUAAUAGUACUUUUUGCUUGUCUAACAGGCACAUAAUGUCACUUCUCCUUGCCAGACCGUGGGGUCCAGGGCUUUUCUAAGAAAAUCCACCAGCAAAGCUCGUACAACGUGUGGCUCCCCAGGCUGCCUCGAGUUCUGGUCUCCAGUUUUCGUAUUUCCUCCCAGCAUUAAACUCUUACUCAGCACCUACUGUGUGCGCGCACUGUGUCACUGUGGAGAGACACAAGAAUGAGACACUAGUCUCUCCAUCUCUGGAGGAUUGAGAACAGAGGGAGUAAGAGGAUAAGGACGGUUCAGAUGUUCUCGGAGGCCCUUUCCAGCUUUGGCAUUCUAUAAAUCUGUUUGGUAGGCAUUUGAACAGUAAGAAGGGUUGGAUAAAACAUAACCUCAAGGAAGUUUUGGGGGUGGACUGCAAUUCAACCUAAACUGUGAAGAGCCAUACCAAUAUCCUGUGUUUCUAGUUGAAACCCAAUGAAUGUAUCCAAGAAAAACACUCCCAAGGAAACUCCACUCAUCCCCCGAUCCAGGAAGGGAAAGACGACGCCCAUGAAAACAUUCCAUUGAAAUUAAAGCCCUGCUGCCAAUCAACCUCUCCCACAAGUCCUAGCCCUCCCUCCCCUGGGACUCUGGUAGCAAGCAGGUGAGAUGUGAGGGAAUCUGUAUAAGGAUGUGAGCAUGAAAUGCUUCAGUUCGUGCGGUCGGCUCAACUGCCGUAACAACACUCUCCCUCUAAAAAACACUGUCUCAGAGAAAAAAUCUUCAUGGCUCUUCAUUGCCUAGAGAAUUAAGCACAAACUCUUCAACUUCCAUUUCAAGGUCCUCUACAAUAUGAAGACAAGCCACUUCCUUCAUGCACCUCUUCUUACAAUCUAAUUGGGCUUUGUGAUGGGCACACGUCAUAUUACUCUCUCCAGGUGCUAACUCAAGUUAUCUACACCCUACUUAUCAACAUUACAUCAUUAAAUUUCAUCUCUUCCAUGAAGCUUGUCUUUCCUCCUCCCUCUCUUCUUUUCUUUCAAGUUACUUAAACACUUAUCUUUCAAGAUACGUAUAUACUAUUCUUCUAAAUAAAGGUAUACUUAAUGAGUGCUGGUAUCUAUCUCUGAAUCCUCUUUCCUAAGGAACUGACAACAAGUGCGGUUUAAAGAGGUUUCGAUUCGCUUCUAUGUGUCCCACAGUAGGCUAUUUAUGUCCAGUUUGAAAAUGCAAAGGAACUAGAAUUAGCCAAAGACUUUUGAAAAACUACAAAGUUGGAGGAUUAUAGUAUCUGAUUUCGAGACUUAUUUGAAUGCUACAGUAAUCAAGACAAUAUGAUAUUUGUGCUGCAAUGAGCAAAUAGGUCAAUGGAGCAGAGAAUCCAGAAGUAGACCCCACAUAUAUAGUCAACUGAUUUUUGACAGACAGGUGAAAACAAUUUAAUGAGGAAAUGUUGAUCUAUUCAACAAAUUGUGCUGGAACAUUUGGAUGAACAAUGCAAAAAACAAACAAACAAAAGACCUUUGAUCUAUACUUCACGUCACAUUGAAGAAAGAACCCAAAACAGAUCUUCGUCUAAAUAUAAAACCUGAAACUAUAAAAUUUCUACAAGAAAUAUAGGAGAAAAUCCUUGUGGCCCAGGGUUAGGCAAAGAUCUCUUAGAUACAACACAAAAAAGCAUAGUACAUUGCAAAAAAUUAAUAAAUUAGACUUCACCAAAAUUAAGAAUGUCUCUUCAAAAGACACUGUUUUGAGAAAUUAAAAAAGAAAAACACUGGUGAAAAAGAGAAAAAAGAAUUUGGAGAAAAUAUUCGCAAAUCACAGAUUUGAUAAGAGAACUGUAUCUAGAUUAUAUAAAGAACUUUCAAAACUCAAUAAUAAGAACAAACAAACCAAUUACAAAAUGGGUAAAAGAGUUAGAUUCUUCAUCCAAAAAGAAUAUGGAUGGCAAACAAGCACAUGAAAAGACGUACAUUCUUAGUCAUCAGGGAAAUGCUAAUUAAAAUCACAGUGAGAUAUGCCUCCAUGACACACCCACUAAAACCAGUCAAAAACUAAAAAGGCUGACUGUAUUAGGUGUUGGAAAGGAUGUGGAGUAACCAGAACGCACACACCACUGGAGAGAAUGUAAAAUGGUACAACCACUUUGGAAAACAGGUUUUUAAAAACUUAAACCUAUGCCUAACAUAUGAUCCAGCCGUUCCACUUCUAGGUAUUUACCAAGAGAUAGGAAAGCAUAUGUCCUUACAAAGACUUAUCCAUAAAUAUUCAAGGCAGCUUUAUUUGUAACAACCAAAAACUGAAAACAAUACAAAUGUCUAUCGAUAGGUGAAUGGAUAAACAAAUUUUAGUAUAUCCAUACAAUAGACUACUGCUCAGCAAGAAAAUGGGAAAACGUGUUGACCCAGAAUAGUUAUGCUGAGUGAGAGAAGUCAGAAAAAGAAGAGUACAUCCUCUAUGAUUCCACUUAUAUAAAAUCUACAAAAUGCAAACUAAUCUAUAGGGACAUAGGCAAAUCAAUAACUGCCUAGAGACUGGGGGAGAGGUACAGAGAGGGUGCUGGAGAGGACAGAGAGGGAUCACAAAGGGAGAAGGGGAAACUUUUGAGGGUGAUGGAUAUAUUCACUAUCUUGAUUGUGGUGAUGGUUUCCUGAGUGUACACAU